RNAcentral lists this unclassified non-coding RNA (216 nucleotides) under fungal sp. RNAcentral's name for it is "partial internal transcribed spacer region". The stretch from base 1 to 46 matches the Rfam family "Eukaryotic small subunit ribosomal RNA", at positions 1786 to 1831 of the family's 1831-position model. The record is from RNAcentral. Lineage: Eukaryota; Fungi. RNAcentral also lists the same sequence under 1 other name.
AAGUCGUAACAAGGUAACCGUAGGUGAACCUGCGGUUGGAUCAUUAGUAAAUCAAAGGCCCGCAAGGGUCAUAUAAACCAUGUGCACUUAACAAUUGUUUUUGGGCUUGUACAUUAUUACUGUACUUGCCCAACCAUUUUAUAAACCCUUUACUGUUUAAUCUGAUUUUUAUUAAAAAUUUUUUAAUAACUUUUGACAACGGAUCUCUUGGCUCUC